This 74-nucleotide transfer RNA is filed under the name Armillaria borealis. Its description in RNAcentral is "tRNA-Met". It matches the Rfam family "tRNA". From Rfam's summary of the family: Transfer RNA (tRNA) molecules are approximately 80 nucleotides in length. Their secondary structure includes four short double-helical elements and three loops (D, anti-codon, and T loops). Lineage: Eukaryota; Fungi; Basidiomycota; Agaricomycetes; Agaricales; Physalacriaceae. The record is from RNAcentral.
GGCUGACUAGUUCAGUCCGUUGGAGCCUCGUGCUCAUAACACGAACGUUUUGGGUUCGCUUCCCAUAUGAGCCA